RNAcentral lists this ribosomal RNA (468 nucleotides) under uncultured bacterium. RNAcentral describes it as "partial 16S ribosomal RNA". It matches the Rfam family "Bacterial small subunit ribosomal RNA", at positions 28 to 507 of the family's 1533-position model. The record is from RNAcentral.
AACGAACGCUGGCGGUGUGCUUAACACAUGCAAGUCGAACGGUAAGGCCCUUUCGGGUGUACACGAGUGGCGAACGGGUGAGUAACACGUGGGUAAGCUGCCCUCCUCGCGGGGAUAACAGGCGGAAACGGUGGCUAUUACGGAUAAGGAGCUUGCAAGACAGCUGGUGGGUUGGAGAGAUUUUUUGUGGGUGGGGAUGGAGUCGCGGCCUAUCAGCUGGUGGGUGAGGUAGUGGCUAAGCAAGGCUUCGACGGGUAGCCGGCAUGCGAGGACGACCGGCCACACUGGACCUGAGCUACGGCCCACAGUCCUACGUGAGGCAGCAGUGGGGAAUAUUGCACCAUGGACGGCCGUCUGAUGCAGGAACGCCGCGUGCUGGAUGACGGCCUUCGUGUUGUACAAAGCUUUCAAUUGUGAUGCAGGAUUUUUGUGACGGUAGCAGUAGAAGAAGCACCGGCUAACUACGUG